CGUAUAUUAAAGUUGUUGCAGUUAAAAAGCUCGUAGUUGAAUUUUGGGCCGGGCCGGGCGGUCGUCCGCAAGGGCUGCACUGCCUGCGCCUGGCCUUUCCUUCUGGGGAUCCCGCGUGCUCUUAACUGAGUGCGCGGGGGAACCAGGACCUUUACUUUGAAAAAAUUAGAGUGUUUAAAGCAGGCCUUUGCUUGAAUACUUCAGCAUGGAAUAAUAGAAUAGGACUUUGGUUCUAUUUUGUUGGUUUCUAGGACCGAAGUAAUGAUUAAUAGGGAUAGUUGGGGGCAUUAGUAUUUAAUUGUCAGAGGUGAAAUUCUUGGAUUUAUGAAAGACUAACUUCUGCGAAAGCAUUUGCCAAGGAUGUUUUCAUUAAUCAAGAACGAAAGUUAGGGGAUCGAAGACGAUUAGAUACCGUCGUAGUCUUAACCAUAAACUAUGCCGACUCGGGAUCGGGCGAUGUUAUUUAUGACUCGCUCGGCACCGUAUGAGAAAUCAAAGUUUUUGGGUUCUGGGGGGAGUAUGGUCGCAAGGCUGAAACUUAAAGGAAUUGACGGAAGGGCACCACCAGGAGUGGAGCCUGCGGCUUAAUUUGACUCAACACGGGGAAACUCACCAGGUCCAGACAUGAUAAGGAUUGACAGAUUGAGAGCUCUUUCUUGAUUUUAUGGGUGGUGGUGCAUGGCCGUUCUUAGUUGGUGGAGUGAUUUGUCUGGUUUAUUCCGAUAACGAACGAGACCUUAACCUGCUAAAUAGUCACCUCGACCCUGUGUCGUGGGCCGACUUCUUAGAGGGACUGUGGACGUGAAGUCCACGGAAGUUU
Molecule: ribosomal RNA, 820 nt
Filed under: Hyaloraphidium sp.
Lineage: Eukaryota; Fungi; Monoblepharomycota; Hyaloraphidiomycetes; Hyaloraphidiales; Hyaloraphidiaceae
Description: SSU rRNA
Rfam family: Eukaryotic small subunit ribosomal RNA
Source: RNAcentral